CAUCCUUCCGGUAGGUGAACCUGCGGAAGGAUCAUUA
RNAcentral lists this ribosomal RNA (37 nucleotides) under Candida albicans. Its description in RNAcentral is "partial 18S ribosomal RNA". Lineage: Eukaryota; Fungi; Ascomycota; Pichiomycetes; Serinales; Debaryomycetaceae. The record is from RNAcentral.